GUGCCAGCAGCCGCGGUAAUUCCAGCUCCAAUAGCGUAUAUUAAAGUUGUUGCAGUUAAAAAGCUCGUAGUUGAAACUUGGGCCUGGCUGGCGGGUCCGCCUCACCGCGUGCACUCGUCCGGCCGGGCCUUCCUUCUGAAGAACCUCAUGCCCUUCACUGGGCGUGCUGGGGAAUCAGGACUUUUACUUUGAAAAAAUUAGAGUGUUCAAAGCAGGCCUUUGCUCGAAUACGUUAGCAUGGAAUAAUAAAAUAGGGCGUGCGUUUCUAUUUUGUUGGUUUCUAGAGACGCCGCAAUGAUUAACAGGAACAGUCGGGGGCAUCAGUAUUCAGUUGUCAGAGGUGAAAUUCUUGGAUUUACUGAAGACUAACUACUGCGAAAGCAUUUGCCAAGGAUGUUUUCAUUAAUCAGUGAACGAAAGUUAGGGGAUCGAAGACGAUCAGAUACCGUCGUAGUCUUAACCGUAAACUAUGCCGACUAGGGAUCGGGCGAUGUUCUUUUUCUGACUCGCUCGGCACCUUACGAGAAAUCAAAGUUUUUGGGUUCUGGGGGGAUUAUGGUCGCAAGGCUGAAACUUAAAGAAAUUGACGGAAGGUCACCACCAGGCGUGGAGCCUGCGGCUUAAUUUGACUCAACACGGGGAAACUCACCAGGUCCAGAUGAAAUAAGGAUUGACAGAUGAGAGCUCUUUCUUGAUUUUUCAGGUGUGUGCAUGACGUCUAGUCGUGCGUGACUGUCUGCUAUGCGAUACGAGCGAGACUACUCUGCUAAUAGCAGCUACUUUGUGUCGCGCUCCUAGAGAGACUAUCACUCAGUGAUGAGUGAGCAUACAGCUUGGAUGGCUAGAUGUCUGAUCGCACGCGGCUAACUUGACAGAGCAACGAGAGUCGAUC
This 892-nucleotide ribosomal RNA is filed under the name uncultured fungus. RNAcentral describes it as "SSU rRNA". It matches the Rfam family "Eukaryotic small subunit ribosomal RNA", at positions 564 to 1527 of the family's 1831-position model. The record is from RNAcentral. Lineage: Eukaryota; Fungi.